This 274-nucleotide ribosomal RNA is filed under the name uncultured bacterium. RNAcentral describes it as "partial 16S ribosomal RNA". It matches the Rfam family "Bacterial small subunit ribosomal RNA", at positions 523 to 796 of the family's 1533-position model. The record is from RNAcentral.
AUACGGAGGGUGCAAGCGUUAAUCGGAAUUACUGGGCGUAAAGCGCUCGUAGGCGGCUUGUUAAGUCGGAUGUGAAAGCCCCGGGCUCAACCUGGGAACUGCAUUCGAUACUGGCAGGCUAGAGUAUAGUAGAGGCAAGUGGAAUUCCGGGUGUAGCGGUGAAAUGCGUAGAUAUCCGGAGGAACAUCAGUGGCGAAGGCGACUUGCUGGACUAAUACUGACGCUGAGGAGCGAAAGCGUGGGGAGCAAACAGGAUUAGAUACCCCAGUAGUCC